UACCCUAAAUAAUCAUAUUAAGGUAUAUUUGUCUUAGUCAUGUUCUUGUUGUGAAUUUGAUUAUAAUUCUGCAAAUAUUGACUAAUAAUAGUAUGCUUUUGCCAUCAAUAAUUUGAGUAGUACGAUUAUAGUGUUUUAUUAACAUGACCUUGUGUUGGAUGAGACGGUUUUAUAAGUGUUUUGGAUAUUUGUUCAUUUUUUUGCUUAUACAUGUAUAAUGAUUUUUUGUUUUUUUGUUAAAUUGGAUUUCCUUCCUUCAUGUGGUGGUUUUCAAUUUUAUUAUAAUUCUACCAAUUUUGACUAAUGGUUAAGCUAUUGCCAUCAUAUGAUAGGAUUUUAGUGAUUUAUUUGCAUGAUAGCGAAUUAGAG
Molecule: unclassified non-coding RNA, 369 nt
Filed under: Hevea brasiliensis (rubber tree)
Lineage: Eukaryota; Viridiplantae; Streptophyta; Magnoliopsida; Malpighiales; Euphorbiaceae
Source: RNAcentral